Molecule: ribosomal RNA, 376 nt
Filed under: uncultured bacterium
Lineage: Bacteria
Description: bacterial SSU rRNA
Rfam family: Bacterial small subunit ribosomal RNA
Source: RNAcentral
UACGAGGUGUGCGAGCGUUGUUCGGAAUCACUGGGCAUAAAGGGUGCGUAGGCGGCGCGGUCAGUCGGUUGUGAAAUCCUUCGGCUUAACCGGGGAAUUGCUUCCGAUACUACCGCGCUUGAGGGUGAAAGGGGCAAGCGGAAUUCCAGGUGUAGCGGUGGAAUGCGUAGAUAUCUGGGAGAACGCCGACGGCGAAGGCAGCUUGCUGGGUCACUUCUGACGCUGAGGCACGAAAGCUAGGGGAGCAAACAGGAUUAGAUACCCUGGUAGUCCUAGCCGUAAACGAUGGGUACUAUGUUCCGGGGGGCCUGAUCCCUUCGGAGCCUGAGCUAAUGCAUUAAGUACCCCGCCUGGGGAGUAUGGUCGCAAGGCUAAA